This 678-nucleotide ribosomal RNA is filed under the name Escherichia coli. RNAcentral's name for it is "bacterial SSU rRNA". It matches the Rfam family "Bacterial small subunit ribosomal RNA", at positions 865 to 1533 of the family's 1533-position model. Lineage: Bacteria; Pseudomonadati; Pseudomonadota; Gammaproteobacteria; Enterobacterales; Enterobacteriaceae. The record is from RNAcentral.
UCGACCGCCUGGGGAGUACGGCCGCAAGGUUAAAACUCAAAUGAAUUGACGGGGGCCCGCACAAGCGGUGGAGCAUGUGGUUUAAUUCGAUGCAACGCGAAGAACCUUACCUGGUCUUGACAUCCACAGAACUUUCCAGAGAUGAGAUUGUGCCUUCGGGAACUGUGAGACAGGUGCUGCAUGGCUGUCGUCAGCUCGUGUUGUGAAAUGUUGGGUUAAGUCCCGCAACGAGCGCAACCCUUAUCCUUUGUUGCCAGCGGUCCGGCCGGGAACUCAAAGGAGACUGCCAGUGAUAAACUGGAGGAAGGUGGGGAUGACGUCAAGUCAUCAUGGCCCUUACGACCAGGGCUACACACGUGCUACAAUGGCGCAUACAAAGAGAAGCGACCUCGCGAGAGCAAGCGGACCUCAUAAAGUGCGUCGUAGUCCGGAUUGGAGUCUGCAACUCGACUCCAUGAAGUCGGAAUCGCUAGUAAUCGUGGAUCAGAAUGCCACGGUGAAUACGUUCCCGGGCCUUGUACACACCGCCCGUCACACCAUGGGAGUGGGUUGCAAAAGAAGUAGGUAGCUUAACCUUCGGGAGGGCGCUUACCACUUUGUGAUUCAUGACUGGGGUGAAGUCGUAACAAGGUAACCGUAGGGGAACCUGCGGUUGGAUCACCUCCUUACCUUAAAGAA